Molecule: long non-coding RNA, 1873 nt
Filed under: Homo sapiens (human)
Lineage: Eukaryota; Metazoa; Chordata; Mammalia; Primates; Hominidae
Description: HSALNT0287712
Source: RNAcentral
GUGUGAGCCACCGCACCCGGCCAUGCCUGGCUAAUUUUUGUAUUUUUAGUAGAGACGGGGUUUCACCAUCUUGGCCAGACUGGUCUCGAACUCUUGACCUCAGGUGAUCCACCCGCCUUGGCCUCCCAAAGUGUUGAGAUUACAGGCGUGAGCCACUGCGCCCAGCUGUCUUUACUUUUUUGAGACGGAGUCUCGCUCUGUCGCCCAGGCUGGAGUUAUGCGGUGGCGCAAUCUCGGCUCACUGCAACCUCAGCCUCCCGGGUAGCUGGGAUUACAGGCACCCGCCACCACGCCAGGCUCAUUUUUUUGUAUUUUUUUAGUAGAGAUGAGGAUUCACCAUGUUGGCCAGGCUGGUCUCGAACUCCUGACUUCAAGUGAUCCUCCCACCUCGGCCUCCCAAAGUGCUAGGAUUACAGGCGUGAGCCACCGCGCCCGGCCUGUAGUGUGUUUUUAGAUGAUGUCAUCUACUCCUAGCUCUUUAAUUAAGCACCAUGUGUCAAUGACUUUCUAUUUUCUAGUUCCAGCCGUGGCCUCUCUUGAAACCACUCCCUGCCAGCUGGUUCCUCAGUGGCCAGCUCCACCUGGAUAUGUCCACAAAGUUACCACCUUAGCAAGUCUGAAGUCCAAUUCCCGAGUUGUUUCUACUCUCCACCCAGCCCCAACCUAUCCCUCCCCAAGGAUCUUCAUCUUACUUGUCCAGGUGACAGUAGGGCUGUCAUCGGGUUCAUGUCGAAGCCCACAGCCACUUUUGUCACUUCCCCUCUAAGACCACGCCUCUCCACCUGGACUGCCCACCUCCUCUCUCUCACCACUCAUUUUCCAAAAAGCAGCUGGUCUGCUACCUGCGUUGGGAGAUACUGACUAUACUAAUCCUCAUGUCAUAGCUCGGGGAGCUGACGUCCUCAGAGGUGAAAGGAUUUGGUUAAGGUCAAGGAACGAGUGUUUGUGCAGAGUCCUCCAUUUCCAAAACCAAACCCAGUGGUUCACCCGGGCCUCUCCAGACACAGAUGUCGCGACGCUGGGCCUCCAGCCAGACCUGUAACUUCAGCCUGGAGUUGAGCAGAAACAUGGCUUCCUUGUCUUCAAGUCAUUCUUGGGCUUCAGAGCGAAGAUGCUGGACCUUUGAACCAACAAGCAGGUUACUGGUACCUUUGCCCUGAGAAUACGCUGGUGGUGCUUGUGGCUGCAGUGUUUACCCCGAGAUAACUUUGCCAUGAAGUAUCUUCCUUUUAUUAUUUUUUCAUCGCUCUAGUAUAUCGACUUUGGAAACAAAAGACAUCACUCUAUUUAGAGCAUUCCUUUCUUAGUAGUGGUAUUUCCAUUGACAAAAAAAUAGUAAUUCUGAAUUGCCGAAAAUGUCAAAUCGUAGAAAAUGUUGUUAGCCGAAGAUUCAUCUGAUGAAUCAGAUUUUUCCAAAAUAGAUGAUUCUGAUGUUAGUUCUGUUUAGAAAUAACUCCAAGUACAGUUUUUAUAUAUUAUUUUCACAUUGAAAAUCAGUCAGAUUUACUUCAGCCUCAAAGAGUGUGUUUAUGUAAAAAUAAAUGAGCACUGGCAACCUCCGCCUCCCGGGUUCAAGCAAUUCUCCUGCCUCAGCCUCCCCAGUAGCUGAAAUUACAGGCGCCCGCCACCACACCUGGCUAAUUUUUGUAUUUUUAGUAGAGACGAGGUUUCACUAUGUUGGCCAGGCUGAUCUUGAACUCCUGACCUCAGGUGAUCUGCCUGCCUCAGCCUCCCAAAGUGCUGAGAUAUAUAGGUGUGAGCCACGGCACCCGGCUGGCUUUUCAAUGGUAUAUGGGAAUGAGCUGCUUGGUCAGCUGGAUAAAUGUACUGUCAGCCUCAGGACUGCCUGCAUUCACCCUGGGAAGCAGUCAAA